Molecule: long non-coding RNA, 3567 nt
Organism: Monodelphis domestica (gray short-tailed opossum)
Lineage: Eukaryota; Metazoa; Chordata; Mammalia; Didelphimorphia; Didelphidae
Source: Ensembl
UGUUCGGAAGAAGGGAGGCAGGCAGAGGCUAGAUCUUCGCGGAACCCUCCGGGAUUGGAAGACUGGGUUGGUGGAAUAGAGGGCGGGGGUGCUGCGGUAGAUGGGGCCAAAGGAAGGUGGAAGGUGUCGGAGGAGGAAGGAAAGGGGAUGCCCGGGGGCUGAGGUGGGGGGAGACCACAGGUACGCCGCUUCUGCCAGCUCCGGCGGAGAGACGCAGGCAGAUAGACUCGGAGCGGCAGCGGGUGCUCCUGCUUCGGUGUAGGAGACCGAGUGCGGGAGGCUGGCAGCUCCUGGUCCCACGGGGAGGAGGAGGAGGAGGAGGAGAAGGAGACUGGAGGAGGAGGAGGAGGAAGAGGGCGAGAGCCCUGGAGGGAAAAGGAGCGCGAGCGCCCGCUGCUGCCGAGCUCAGGUGCGGCCAGUCAACGCUGGAGAAGCUCUCUCCGCACAGCCUGGCUGGAGUUCGCUCCGCAAACUGCCUUCUCUUCUCUACUCUCCUCUGCCCUCCUUCUCUCUUUCCCUCUCUCCCUCCCUCCCCAACGCACGUCAAUGGGCGAGCCCGCCCCGCCCACUCGAAGCCGGCGCUCUGGUUUCGGCACCCCCACCCGUCACCCUUCCCGGGACCUACUAGCAGGAAAAGAAAACCAGUGUUCCGUGUCUCCACUUCUGAGAAGGCAGAACUGGAACUCCUGUCCUUGGCUCAGUGCGCUGUGAUCUGUAAGGGCUUGGGAAAGAGGGGAAAGAGAGUUUCUACCUCCCCUUCCCCAGCUUCCCUUAGGAGGGGAAGACCUUCACAAGAGAGAUGCUGCUGUAACUGGGGCCCAGCGCGUUAGAGAGAGAUCCUUCCAAAGUCUCCAGAGCAAAGCCCUGAGCCUGAACCUGCCCAAGGGAAGGGAAGGAAGCGUAAAGGCUGCAAACACUCGCUUUGGGCGGGCAAAGAAGCACCAGUCCAGGGGGCUUUCCAGAAUCCUCUGCUUCUGCCCUGGUCGCUGUACGGUUGUCGCCAUUUAAGAACUCUCUUCCGCCUUGUUCUUUAUAAAACUGGAUUUAUUUAAGCCUGGAUUCUUAUUUGUGGGAAUUCAAAUCGCAGCUUUAAGGACUUCUAAGUCCUGUGUGUGUGUGGUGUGUGUGUGUGUGUGUGUGUAUGUAACUCUUCCUUUUCCAGGAUGGACAUGUGCUUGUGUGCACAAAUUCUGCAGAUUUCCACUAAAGUUGUUAAACUUAAAUUUUAGUAAAACGCUGGGUUUGAGCCCUGGGAAGAAUGCCACUCUAUUAUUAUUAUUUGAGUACACUCACAGGAAGAUCAGGCAAUGUCCACAAGUGGAGCAGUUCAAAAUAUAUGUAUACACGCCUACACAUAUCUUAUGCAUGUGUCAACACAUUUCUAUGUAUAGAUUUAUACAUGUAUGUUUAGAUAUGUCUCAGACCAUAUGUGCAGCUUAUAAAUAUAGAUUUAUCAGACAUUCAGGUAAAUAGGUAUAAGGAGACUUCCAGUAGAUUGGUAAAACUGACAGUAUGGUAUAGCACUAGACUUUAGGAUCCAAGGACCUCAGUUCAAAUUCUCCCUUUGUUAAUUAUAAUUAAUGUGACUGAAUGAAUCACUUGAAAUCUUUGGGGCUAGGUUUCAUUAUACUGUACAAGUUGACUGUAAGGGCUCUUCAUUUUUAUAUCUUGGGCAAGCAAUUUCACCUCACUGGAUAUCAGUUUCCUCAUUUAAAAAUAGGGAUCAGAUUCAUGGUCCCUUCCAACUGUAAUUCCUAUGAUCUAAACUUAAUUAGUUAUAAUUAAUUUGUCCUUUUUAAGGGCAUUAAAGAUAUUCCAUUUGCCAAGAAAUUUCAGUGAGAAAUUUACAAUCUUAACCAGUUCAAAUAGCUACACAAUAAUUUUCUUCCCAGAUCAACAAAAGGCAGGUGUUUCCAUGUUACUAGAUAAGGCUGAGAAUGUGAUACUUUUAUAACUGAAGCUUCAGGACUUUGACAUCAUAAGCUAUUAGGGAUUUCCAUGACCACAGCUAAAUCUUUGCUCUAGGCUAAAUGUUGGCAGAUGAUUCUUCAUAGAAAAUGUGAAUUUAAAAAUUGCUUUAGUCUCAUUUUGAAAACUUCUGGCUUUUCCUUUCCUUUAGCUUUAAGAAGAAGUAAAAUUCCUUCCAUCAUGAAGAGCUCAGAGUUCAGGCACAUGGGAGACAAGUUGUAUAAAGCUAAAUUAUGGUAGUGACCCCUGGGUACCUGUCUUAGAACCACCCUGCAAGGUUGAACUGGCAUCCUUGACAAAUUUAAGAGGAACUGAGUCCAUUAAUACUUUAGGCAUUUUGGAACUGUCCUAAAAAGCUCAAAGUUAUUUCAUAUAUGUGUGUGAUCUUAUCUUUUACAACUAAUAUAUAAAAUAUGGAAAGAGAAAAAUUGUCUCUCCAUUCAUAGACAGUGUUAUAACAAAGCUAAGUGACUUGCCUACCAUCAUGCUAGUUAGUCAUUUCUACAGUUUUAGGCACCUCCCCAAACCCAAUCCUAAUUUUCUGUUGUUCUAUUCAAUAAGCUACACACAUUUUUUUAAAGAGUAAUAAUAAUAAUAAUAUUAACUUUAUGUGUGUUACCCAAAUCAACCAACACUGAGCACUGAUCUAGGAAUCCAGAACUAAGUUCAACCCUUUGGAUGCUAUAUUAUUAUCCUUGUGAUCUAGAAUAAGUUAUUUGACCACUCUGGGCUUUGGUUUCCACAACUAUAAAAUUAGAGAAUUGGGCAAAACCGGAAAAAUCAAUUUACAGAUUAGUCAAGGAUUUUAAGUAUUUUUGAGUUUACUAGAUACCCAUUCCUAUAGGAUAUAAAUUAGUAUUGCAGUCAUAAAAAGCUUGAUCCCUACCCUCAAUGAGUCUACAACUGAUUUAAAAGUUAUAAUACUAUUUUGCAUUUGGUAUAUUAUCCACUAGAGUUCUAUCACUAAUAUCUUUUUUUUAAACCCUUACCUUCAGUCUUGGAGUCAAUACUGUGUAUUGGCUCCAAGGUAGAAGAGCAGGAAGGGCUAUGCAAUGGGGGUCAAGUGACUUGCCCAGGGUCACACAGUUGGGAAGUGUCUGAGGUCAGAUUUGAACCCAAGACCUCCCAUCUCUAGUCCUGACUCUCAAUCCACUAAGCCACCCAGCUGACCCCUCUAUCAGUAAUAUCUUAAAAGUAUGCAGAUGAUCCUAGAUUGUGAAGGUAAUAGAUGGAAAAUAAGCAUUGGCAGUCAAAUAUUACCAGGUUUGAAAGACUUUGAAUCCAGGCCUAGUGAUAGCCUAUUUUGUCUUCUGAGGACAGGCCUAGCUGAUAUUAAAGAGGCUUAUUAAUUAAUUGACUGUAGAGAGGAAAUGUUAGACUACAAUAACUCUCAAGAAACAACUCUGUCAGGUAUCCUUAAUGUGUGUGUGAUGGCCCCCCCUAAAGUAUUUGGUAAAAUCAAUGAACUCAUCAGAAUCAUAUUUUUUAAAAAUGUUAUCUCCAUAUUAUUCAUUCCUGUAAGUGAAUAGUCCCAUAAAACUAAAACCCCCAAAAUAUACCCCAAAUAAACAAUUGAUAAAUCAUAUGUUUUCUUCUUCA